UACGGGGGGGGCAAGCGUUGUUCGGAAUUACUGGGCGUAAAGGGUUUGUAGGUGGCUUGCUAAGUCAGACGUGAAAUCCCUCAGCUUAACUGGGGAACUGCGUCUGAGACUGGCAAGCUUGAGUGCAGGAGAGGAACGCGGAAUUCCAGGUGUAGCGGUGAAAUGCGUAGAUAUCUGGAGGAACACCGGUGGCGAAGGCGGCAUCCUGGACCGGCAUUGACGCUGAGGCGCGAAAGCCAGGGGAGCAAACGGG
RNAcentral lists this ribosomal RNA (253 nucleotides) under uncultured bacterium. Its description in RNAcentral is "partial 16S ribosomal RNA". It matches the Rfam family "Bacterial small subunit ribosomal RNA", at positions 524 to 776 of the family's 1533-position model. The record is from RNAcentral.